CUGCUGCCUCCCGUAGGAGUUUGGGCCGUGUCUCAGUCCCAAUGUGGCCGGUCACCCUCUCAGGUCGGCUACUGAUCGUCGGUUUGGUGGGCCGUUACCCCGCCAACUGCCUAAUCAGACGCGGGGCCAUCUCAUACCACCGGAGUUUUUCACACUGUACCAUGCGGUACUGUGCGCUUAUGCGGCAUUAGCAGUCAUUUCUAACUGUUAUUCCCCUGUAUGAGGCAGGUUCCCCCACGCGUUACUCACCCGUCCGCCG
Molecule: ribosomal RNA, 259 nt
Filed under: uncultured bacterium
Lineage: Bacteria
Description: partial 16S ribosomal RNA
Source: RNAcentral